UACGUAGGGCGCAAGCGUUGUCCGGAAUUAUUGGGCGUAAAGAGCUCGUAGGCGGCUUGUCACGUCGGUUGUGAAAGCCCGGGGCUUAACCCCGGGUCUGCAGUCGAUACGGGCAGGCUAGAGUUCGGUAGGGGAGAUCGGAAUUCCUGGUGUAGCGGUGAAAUGCGCAGAUAUCAGGAGGAACACCGGUGGCGAAGGCGGCAUCCUGGACCGGCAUUGACGCUGAGGAGCGAAAGCCAGGGGAGCAAACGGG
This 253-nucleotide ribosomal RNA is filed under the name uncultured bacterium. RNAcentral describes it as "partial 16S ribosomal RNA". It matches the Rfam family "Bacterial small subunit ribosomal RNA", at positions 524 to 776 of the family's 1533-position model. The record is from RNAcentral.